AGUAGGGAAUCUUCCACAAUGGGUGCAAACCUGAUGGAGCAAUGCCGCGUGAAUGAAGAAGGUCUUCGGAUCGUAAAGUUCUGUUAUUAGAGAAGAACAAGUCAAGGAGUAACUGCCUUGACUUUGACGGUACCUAACCAGAAAGUCACGGCUAACUACGUGCCAGCAGCCGCGGUAAUACGUAGGUGACAAGCGUUGUCCGGAAUUAUUGGGCGUAAAGGGAGCGCAGGCGGUUGGAAUAGUCUGAUGUGAAAGCCCACGGCUUAACCGUGGAAGGUCAUUGGAAACUGUCCAACUUGAAUGCAGAAGAGGUAAGUGGAAUUCCAUGUGUAGCGGUGAAAUGCGUAGAUAUAUGGAGGAACACCAGUGGCGAAGGCGACUUACUGGUCUGUGAUUGACGCUGAGGCUCGAAAGCGUGGGUAGCGAACAGGAUUAGAUACCCUGGUAGUCCACGCCGUAAACGAUGAGUGCUAAGUGUUGGAGGGUUUCCGCCCUUCAGUGCUGGAGUUAACGCAUUAAGCACUCCGCCUGGGGAGUACGACCGCAAGGUUGACACUCAAAGGAAUUGACGGGGACCCGCACAAGCGGUGGAGCAUGUGGUUUAAUUCGAAGCAACGCGAAGAACCUUACCAGCUCUUGACAUCUUCUGCCAACCCUAGAGAUAGGGCGUUCCCUUCGGGGACAGAAUGACAGGUGGUGCAUGGUUGUCGUCAGCUCGUGUCGUGAGAUGUUGGGUUAAGUCCCAUAACGAGCGCAACCCUUAUUGUUAGUUGCCAGCAUUCAGUUGGGCACUCUAGCGAGACUGCCGGUGAUAAACCGGAGGAAGGUGGGGAUGACGUCAAAUCAUCAUGCCCCUUAUGAGCUGGGCUACACACGUGCUACAAUGGACGGUACAACGAGUUGCGAGGCCGCAAGGCUUAGCGCAAUCUUUAUAAGCCGUUCUCAGUUCGGAUUGCUCUCUGCAACUCGAGAGCAUGAAGCCGGAAUCGCAUAGUAAUCGCGGAUCAGAAUGCCGCGGUGAAUACGUUCCCGGGUCUUGUACACACCGCCCGUCACACCACGAGAGUCCGUAACACCCGAAGCCGGUGGGGCAACCAUUAGGGGAG
RNAcentral lists this ribosomal RNA (1106 nucleotides) under uncultured Atopostipes sp. RNAcentral describes it as "bacterial SSU rRNA". It matches the Rfam family "Bacterial small subunit ribosomal RNA", at positions 353 to 1448 of the family's 1533-position model. Lineage: Bacteria; Bacillati; Bacillota; Bacilli; Lactobacillales; Carnobacteriaceae. The record is from RNAcentral.